AAACAUGGAUUGGAUUAAAACAAAGCAUUGAUUUAAUUUAAAAAGAUAAGGAAGAUACAAUCAGUAAUACCAUGAAUCUACACCCGUAAAUAUGAUUACAAAGUCAAUGACUUCUCAAAUGGUACUCUUCCUAAUUCACAAACAAAUGCAUAUAAUCAACACACGAGACAAGGGGCGGGUAAAAACAAGGAACAAUGAGGUUAUUUCACGUAUAAUUUUAAAAUUAAAAUAACCCACAUCUUCACAAAAUCAGUCCAAGUAAAAGG
This 266-nucleotide long non-coding RNA is filed under the name Capsicum annuum. RNAcentral's name for it is "long non-coding RNA (CANN_LNC018636)". Lineage: Eukaryota; Viridiplantae; Streptophyta; Magnoliopsida; Solanales; Solanaceae. The record is from RNAcentral.